Molecule: unclassified non-coding RNA, 540 nt
Filed under: Hypocreales sp. F249 JA-2017
Lineage: Eukaryota; Fungi; Ascomycota; Sordariomycetes; Hypocreales
Description: sequence contains ITS1, 5.8S rRNA gene and ITS2
Rfam family: 5.8S ribosomal RNA (bases 185-338)
Source: RNAcentral
AAGUCGUAACAAGGUCUCCGUUGGUGAACCAGCGGAGGGAUCAUUACCGAGUUUACAACUCCCAAACCCCUGUGAACAUACCUAUUUGUUGCCUCGGCGGUGCCUGUUCCGACAGCCCGCCAGAGGACCCCAAACCCUGAUUACAUUUAAGAAGUCUUCUGAGUAAACCGAUUAAAUAAAUCAAAACUUUCAACAACGGAUCUCUUGGUUCUGGCAUCGAUGAAGAACGCAGCGAAAUGCGAUAAGUAAUGUGAAUUGCAGAAUUCAGUGAAUCAUCGAAUCUUUGAACGCACAUUGCGCCCGCUAGUAUUCUGGCGGGCAUGCCUGUCCGAGCGUCAUUUCAACCCUCAAGCCCCCGGGCUUGGUGUUGGGGAUCGGCGAGCCUCCGCGCCCGCCGUCCCCUAAAUCUAGUGGCGGUCUCGCUGUAGCUUCCUCUGCGUAGUAGCACACCUCGCACUGGGAAACAGCGCGGCCACGCCGUUAAACCCCCAACUUCUGAACGUUGACCUCGGAUCAGGUAGGAAUACCCGCUGAACUUAA